CUAGCAAUUUCCAACUGUGAACACCAGGAGGCGACAAUGUAAAUGAAUGUUCCCAGGAUGUUUCCUCUUCGGCCUCAAGGGGCAACAAUGAGCCAUAACGCAACCUAUUUAAACUGGAAGCUCCACUUCCCCCAGUCCUUUUAUCCUGUGCUUUGACCAGAAGUCAACAGGAGAGUGCAGUCAGCUUGUAUAAUGCAGAACCAACGUCCCAGAAGUUCGUUCUUCUGUUACGCUAUCGUCAUGCUCUGUUAUCGUAUGCCAAUUGGUAGACACAUGUACGGGCCAGAUGGAGGAUGAUGGCUGUGUUUGAGCUUCAAGCAGAAUGUCCCAGUGAUGAAUGGGUUUGUGGUUAUAAUGCCGCAAUCAGCCAUGGCAGUAUAAUGACUUGAGAGUUUCUGAAACUCCAACAAGAGGACAGCCACCAUCUUCUUGAGGGUUAACACUUUGGGAGCUGAGCAGCUGUAAUGGACGCAGUUGAGCAGUCUUGAGCCGAAAUUGUUACUUUCCAGGUCGGAACAAGACACUGCAAACACCUGAUGGGAGAUGUGGAACCUUUUUUUUUUUUUUUUCAGAUAACAAGCAUGUACUUGUUCUGUUAUAAAUGAUCACUGGCAGUUUUAUCUGCAAGCAACAGUUGUCUUACACAAAUUGUUGCACGGGGGAACAGUAGUUACUGCUGUCGACUCACAGAAAGUAGUCACUGGGGGACCCUUUGUCUGUGUAUGAAAGUGCUUUCAAAUGAUCUGUAUUUAACAUUCACACUGCAUGUUGAAAUAACAAGUGUCUCAAAGAAAUAAAACUCCUUUUUAAAAAUG
Long non-coding RNA from Etheostoma cragini (Arkansas darter), 815 nucleotides. RefSeq lists it as uncharacterized. The record is from RefSeq and is a predicted model, not a curated record. The transcript has 4 exons. NCBI's taxonomy places the organism in Eukaryota, Metazoa, Chordata, Actinopteri, Perciformes, Percidae.